UGGCUUGGGUUGGAAGGGGUCACAAGGUGAUCCUUGAUCCUUGAUCAAGCUCCAACCCCUUACCUUCACCAGACUUUUAGAGGAUCCAGGUGCCAUGGCUUAGUCACACAUCAACCAGAAGGAAUACUUUCAGGCUGCAAACUGCUCUCCUGUUUGCACCGCCAGCACAACAGCGUUUUAUAGAGAGCCUGAGGAUCCUCAGCGGGCAUCAAGAUCAAAUAUUGAGAAUAGGACUUUGCUUGUGAAGUCUUCAGAGCAGUAACAGCUCCUCAGGCCAGCAGAGUUGAGGAUUUCUGCCCUGCACACAUUAGAGCUCAAAGAAGAAGAUGGAGAUGACAUUAGAAGGGAAGCGGAUGUGUAAGAACAACUUCUAGGACCCUGUUGCCCCAAGACAAAUUCAGUACGCUCACUCAAAGAAUUUUAGGAGAAUAGAUAGGUAAAGAAUGUAUUUUAUUUUGAGUCUACUUAUGUAUUUUUAAUUGGUCCCUGCAAAUGUCUUG
Molecule: long non-coding RNA, 500 nt
Filed under: Coturnix japonica (Japanese quail)
Lineage: Eukaryota; Metazoa; Chordata; Aves; Galliformes; Phasianidae
Description: lncRNA (ENSCJPG00005000741.1)
Source: RNAcentral